This 1065-nucleotide ribosomal RNA is filed under the name Triticum aestivum (bread wheat). Its description in RNAcentral is "partial small subunit ribosomal RNA". The record is from RNAcentral. Lineage: Eukaryota; Viridiplantae; Streptophyta; Magnoliopsida; Poales; Poaceae.
AUGGGAAGAAAAGGGACAUUUCAGAUGCCGGUGCAAGAGCUUGCUGGCGCCCUCAGCACGCCGGACGUGCCAGCUCAGUACAUCGCGCGCGCGCACGAGGACCAACAGCUCGCGGCGGUGGUCGUAGCACCAGUCCUUGUCAUCGACCUCGUCCGCCUUUCGAAGCACGGUGACGACACCUCCGACGAGGCGGCGAAGCUCUGGUCAGCCAUCGAGUCCUGGGGCCUCUUUAUGGUCAGUAACCACGGUGUAGACGCGGUAAUGGACAACAUGAUGGCCGCGUCAAGGGAGUUUUUCGGGCAGCCGCUCAAAGAGAAGCAGAGAUACACCAACCUGAACGGCGGCGAGCGGUUCCAGUUCGAGGGGUAUGGGAACGACCGGGUGAACUCGCCGGACCAAAUCCGUGACUGGACUGACCGCCUCUACCUCAAGGUGGAGCCAGAGGAUGAGCGGAGCAUCGCCCUCUGGCCAGCACGUCCCGAAACCUUUAGGAAUGCUCUGCACGAGUAUACGAAGAAAUGCGGGGAAGUGAAGAACGAUGUGCUCAGGGCAAUGGCGAAGCUGCUGGAACUUGACGAUGAUGAUUACUUUGUGGAACACUUUGGGGAGAAGCCUCUCACUGACGUGAGAUGCAGCUACUACCCGGUGUGCCCGAGGCCGGAGCUCGUGUUUGGCCUCAAGCCCCACUCCGAUGCAACUGUUGUUACAGUCCUUAUGGUCCAUGACAGGGUUGGUGGCCUACAAGUUCUCAAAGAUGGGGUUUGGUGGGAUGUACCGAUCGUACCUCACACGCUACUCAUGAUUAUAGGAGAUCAAACUGAGAUAAUGAGCAAUGGGAUCUUUAAGAGCCCUGUUCACAGGGUCGUGACAAACACAAAGAAAGAGAGGCUAUCGGUGGCACUAGACUACUAUGUUGAUCCUGAGAGAGAAAUCGAGCCAUCGGCUCAGUUGGUCAAUGAGAAGAGGCCGGCGUUGUACUCUAAAGUGAAGGUUAAAGACUACUUUGCCCGAAGUUACAAUGCUUUUACUCAAGGGAAAAUGGUUAUCGAUACAGUGAAGAUCUAA